This 427-nucleotide ribosomal RNA is filed under the name uncultured bacterium. RNAcentral describes it as "bacterial SSU rRNA". It matches the Rfam family "Bacterial small subunit ribosomal RNA", at positions 355 to 774 of the family's 1533-position model. The record is from RNAcentral.
UGGGGAAUUUUGGACAAUGGGGGCAACCCUGAUCCAGCCAUGCCGCGUGAGUGAAGAAGGCCUUCGGGUUGUAAAGCUCUUUCGGCGGGGAAGAAAUGGCAACGGCUAAUAUCCGUUGUUGAUGACGGUACCCGCAUAAGAAGCACCGGCUAACUACGUGCCAGCAGCCGCGGUAAUACGUAGGGUGCGAGCGUUAAUCGGAAUUACUGGGCGUAAAGCGUGCGCAGGCGGUUUUGUAAGACAGAUGUGAAAUCCCCGGGCUUAACCUGGGAACUGCGUUUGUGACUGCAAGGCUGGAGUACGGCAGAGGGGGGUGGAAUUCCACGUGUAGCAGUGAAAUGCGUAGAGAUGUGGAGGAACACCGAUGGCGAAGGCAGCCCCCUGGGCCUGUACUGACGCUCAUGCACGAAAGCGUGGGGAGCAAACA